UUGUUGGAAGUAAAUUAGAGUUUAAAAAUAUAUAUAUAUAUGCCAGUGUUUAAUGAAUAAUAAAUGUAAGCAUAAAAUUAUAAUAUGUUUUUUUAAGUCCAGCUAUAAACCCCUGGUAAACCUUAUAAUUUUGCCAGAACCAGGUAUGCAAAAAGUUUCAUUUUUAGAAGGGACAGGGCUGAAGCCCUAGUCACUUACUAUAUCUGUUAACAGUUUUCAAAUUCCACUUUUUUGUACAUAUUUUUGUUACACACUCUCAUUAUUAUGAUGUUAUUUUCUUUUUAAUUACACAGUUUCACACACAACAUUUACAAAGCUAGUGGUUCUAUAAAAAAUUAAGGAAAGAAUAAAUUUUAGAGUUGUCAUCGGCUAAAAAGAUAACGUUUAAUACAAAAGUCGCAUUCAUAUCUAAAAACAGGUAACGUGACACCAGGUUUUUAAACAGGUGAGUUUUAUCGCAUUUAUUUCAAUUUUAUUUUAUUAAUGAUUGUUUUAUUUAACUAAUUUUUGUUUCGUAAAUACCUAAUAUUUACCAUUCAAAUUUAAAUAUUUUUUGUAAAUAAAACAUUAAAUCAUCGGAUUUAGUUGAUGAACCUAUUGAACCUCGGAUUUAGUUGAUGAACCUAUUGUCUACUGUUGAAACAUGAUUUGAUUCAGUAAAUUUUUAUUAUUUGAAUUUUACUGUAUUAAUCAUUAGUCAACAGUUAGCGAGAAACUGGUGCUCUACGUAAUUGAGAUUAAUUGAUGAACAUUUCAAUCGUCACCGAAAAUUGAAUUUUCCUGUUUGUUGCAGGCUUGUUUUCCUUUAAUUAGGAGUAUGGUAGACUUAAAGAAGCAGUUCAUAUCUAAACGACACAAACUGUCAAAAGCAAGAGAAA
Non-coding RNA from Hydra vulgaris (swiftwater hydra), 878 nucleotides. NCBI's taxonomy places the organism in Eukaryota, Metazoa, Cnidaria, Hydrozoa, Anthoathecata, Hydridae. The record is from RefSeq and is a predicted model, not a curated record.